Passer domesticus (house sparrow) is the source of this 651-nucleotide long non-coding RNA. RefSeq lists it as uncharacterized. The record is from RefSeq and is a predicted model, not a curated record. Lineage: Eukaryota; Metazoa; Chordata; Aves; Passeriformes; Passeridae. The transcript has 3 exons.
GUCCCCAAGGCAUUACAGAAGGCCAUCUGUCCAGACAGAUGACAUCCAUGGCUCCUCCCUUGUCCACUGAUGCAGUCAACUCUGUCACAAAAGGCCACUAUGUUUGUCAGGCAGAACUUGCCCUUGGUGAAGCCAUGCUGGAGGUUCUGUUUCACCUCUCUGUCCUCCAUGCAGCAUAGCUGCCAUGAAGUUUACAGCCAUUCCCUUUGUCCUGUCACCACACAGCCUUGUAAAAAAGAACUAAAAAUUUUGGAACUACAAAAAUUGAAUACAUUGGUUACCUUGGACAAACAUCUGCUCCAUACAUACAGCUCCACAGAUACAGCUCAAAUUGAUUCUCAAGCAAUAGCAGUGACAAAUAUAUAUAGGUGAUCCUUAUCUCUUGCACAGUGUGCAAUACUUUGCACCAGGAUGGCCAGAGCUUCUUCAGAUCAAGCAGUGGCUGGUGGCUUGGAAGCACCCUCCUAUUUCACUCCAGAACUUCCAUGACUUUGCAAUUUUCCCCACCUGGUUACAAUAGCUACAUGGGGAGAUUAUCUAGUACAAUAUUUAAUUUUGACCAGACCAUUACAAAUAACAGUACCUUGAUUCUCUGUAAACGUUAAAUAAAAAAGGUCACUACGAGAGCUAGUGAAAUAUUAAGUAAGAAUA